GCACAAGCAGCGGAGCGUGUGGUUUAAUUCGUUGCUACACGAAGAACCUUACCUGGGUUUGACAUAGCAGUGGUAGGGAAGCGAAAGCGGACCGACCCUUCGGGAGCUGUUACAGGUGUUGCAUGGCUGUCGUCAGCUCGUGUCGUGAGAUGUUCGGUUAAGUCCGCUAACGAGCGCAACCCUCGCUGUGUGUUAUAUGUGUCACACGGGACUGCCGGUCUUAAGCCGGAGGAAGGUGAGGAUGAUGUCAAGUCAGCAUGACCUUUAUAUCCAGGGCUACACACACGCUACAAUGGUCUGUACAAUGGGUAGCCAAGCCGCGAGGCGGAGCCAAUCCUGAAAGCAGGCCUCAGUUCAGAUUGCAGUCUGCAACUCGACUGCAUGAAGCCGGAGUUGCUAGUAACCGCAGGUCAGCAAUACUGCGGUGAAUACGUUCCCGGGUCUU
RNAcentral lists this ribosomal RNA (445 nucleotides) under uncultured Anaerolineaceae bacterium. RNAcentral's name for it is "bacterial SSU rRNA". It matches the Rfam family "Bacterial small subunit ribosomal RNA", at positions 923 to 1382 of the family's 1533-position model. The record is from RNAcentral. Lineage: Bacteria; Bacillati; Chloroflexota; Anaerolineae; Anaerolineales; Anaerolineaceae.